Molecule: ribosomal RNA, 396 nt
Filed under: Triticum aestivum (bread wheat)
Lineage: Eukaryota; Viridiplantae; Streptophyta; Magnoliopsida; Poales; Poaceae
Description: partial small subunit ribosomal RNA
Source: RNAcentral
AUGGCUCCUACCGAGGCUGAGGAUGAUGUAGAGGAGGGAGAAGAGAAGAAGAAGAGGGAAAGGAAGGCAGCUGGAGCUGCUUUCACGUGGAUUCAAAAUAACUUUGCGACGUGCCCUCCGGAUGCAACUGAUGAUGUGAUCCAGACACAUGCUCGUGUGUAUAUGUGGUACAUUGUGUCGAGGACUUUGUUUCCUGACUCCACUGGCAAGAACGCUCCAUGGAUGUGGCUGAAGGCGUUGACCGUCUUCGAUAGCAAAUGGAGCUGGGGUUCAGCGAGUCUUGCCUACUUGUACCGACAGGUAGUUGGUCUGUUUUGUGAUCAACUCAUUUAUUCAUUAGCAAUGCAAGCUUGCUGUCAAGUUAACAUUGUUUUUCUUUCAUAUGUAGCUGGAUGA